This 980-nucleotide long non-coding RNA is filed under the name Zea mays. RNAcentral describes it as "long non-coding RNA (ZMAY_LNC002365)". Lineage: Eukaryota; Viridiplantae; Streptophyta; Magnoliopsida; Poales; Poaceae. The record is from RNAcentral.
CUGGAUGAAGCGCCUUGAGAUUGUAGAAGAUUCUGCAAAAGGUUUGUGGUCUGCUUGUUUCACAAUUCACUACGUAUUUUUUAAGGAAACAUGAGGGGUAGCCUCCUACUGUUUAUUAUAUAGACUAAUAAUAGAAGACAAGUAUGUGUGCAAGCAAUAGGUAGCCAUUAUAAGAGGGAAAUAUUUUUUUCUUCGCUCUAUGGAUAACCAGAGAGAACUCUGAUUCAGAAUGUGAAUGGGCAAAAACCAGGUAUAUAGUAUCUGAGACAUGUAGCUUUUGCAUAUGCUUGUGUUUCAGCUUGCUUCAGUGUUCAUGUGAGAGGUUUAGAGUACAUUCAUCUGCUAGAAUCAUCAUUUUUGUGCCUCUGACUUUGACUAAUGAAUCUUUUGAAACAAUAAUUAAUUAAGUGUUAAAGGAGCUUAGAUAAAUUUAUAAUACAAAUUUAAGACUACACAGUCUAUAUGGCUCACAGAUGCCUGCACAGGUUUCAAAUACGCGUAUAUUAGUCUGUGAUUUGGGGCUAGAGUGAGUGUGUCUGCAAUGACUCCAUGCCUCGACUGGCAUCAAAAGGAUUGAGGUUAUUUAGGGGUAUGGUACCUGGGGACAUUGCAGUUCACUGCUUGGCUAGCUUGAUUAGGGUAGGACAUCUGGCAGCUUGAAACAACCAUGAAACUAUUUUCAGCUACAAUGUGACUCACUAUUUUUAAUUGAUUUUGAGCAUACAUAACACUUAUUUUUUAAUUUGGUUUGCCUUGUUGGUUUGUGGGUCGACUUAACUAAUAUAGUGGUAGAUAUCAUUUUCCAGGUAUUCAACAAAAAUUCAGGAUGAAACCUGGGCUCGGAAGAGUUCUUAAUAGCAUUACAAAGAAAAGAAACUGAUAUUUGUCGACCAACAAUAUCAGGUCCAUUGGGGUUCUUGUAUUGUUGAUUCAAUGGUAGGAACUAGGAAGUCUUCUUCACUUCAAUAGGUGGUGCUCUA